This 783-nucleotide ribosomal RNA is filed under the name uncultured Neocallimastigales. RNAcentral's name for it is "partial large subunit ribosomal RNA". It matches the Rfam family "Eukaryotic large subunit ribosomal RNA", at positions 23 to 637 of the family's 3401-position model. The record is from RNAcentral. Lineage: Eukaryota; Fungi; Neocallimastigomycota; Neocallimastigomycetes; Neocallimastigales.
GAGACUCUGUGCGCGUGCAUAUCAAUAAGCGGAGGAAAAGAACCUAACAAGGAUUCCCCUAGUAACGGCGAGUGAAGCGGGAAGAGCUCAAAUUUGAAAUCUUAAAGGGUUCUACCUUGACGAAUUGUAGUUUAUAGAAGUGUUUUCUGUAGUGGAGUUCGGUAAAAGUUCUUUGGAAUAGGACAUCAUAGAGGGUGAGAAUCCCGUAUUUGACCGUUACUUUCCUAGCUGUGUGAUACACUUUCAAAGAGUCGGAUUGUUUGGGAAUGCAGUCCAAGAUGGGUGGUAAAUUUCAUCUAAAGCUAAAUAUUGGCGAGAGACCGAUAGCGAACAAGUACCGUGAGGGAAAGAUGAAAAGAACUUUGAAAAGAGAGUUAAACAGUACAUGAAAUUGUCAAAAGGGAAGCGUUUGACACCAGUGUUGUUUAGUUGAAAAUCAAUUCAAUAGUUUUUGAUUCUAAGUAGUAUUGACUUCAUCAGCUUGCUGCUUUCUUCUCAGAAGUUAUUGAAUGCACUUUUCAGUUAACAAGUCAACAUCAAUUUCUUUUGUUGUAAAAGGGUAAGAGGAAGGUGGCUUGCGCUUCGGCUCAAGUGUUUAUAGCCUUUUAUCUCUGCAAUCGGAGAGAUUGAGGAUCUGCAGCGUAGACUCCUUUCGGGGUUAGAUACAGUUUGUGCUAAGCUAUAGCCUUGUAUAGACAACUUGUUGACUAUACUCAGUCAUGUAGCUUACUCGCAUGAUAGCUAUUUUACCUACGCUUAGGAUGUUGACAGCAGUAAGACUGU